AGUGAACGCUGGCGGUAGGCCUAACACAUGCAAGUCGAACGGCAGCACCGUAAGAGCUUGCUCUUACGGGUGGCGAGUGGCGGACGGGUGAGGAAUACAUCGGAAUCUACUUUUUCGUGGGGGAUAACGUAGGGAAACUUACGCUAAUACCGCAUACGACCUACGGGUGAAAGCAGGGGAUCUUCGGACCUUGCGCGAUUGAAUGAGCCGAUGUCGGAUUAGCUAGUUGGCGGGGUAAAGGCCCACCAAGGCGACGAUCCGUAGCUGGUCUGAGAGGAGGAUAAGCCACACUGGAACUGGAACACGGUCCAGACUCCUACGGGAGGCAGCAGUGGGGAAUAUUGGACAAUGGGCGCAAGCCUGGUCCAGCCAUACCGCGUGGGUGAAGAAGGCCUUCGGGUUGUAAAGCCCUUUUGUUGGGAAAGAAAAGCAGCAGGUUAAUACCCCGCUGUUCUGACGGUACCCAAAGAAUAAGCACCGGCUAACUUCGUG
RNAcentral lists this ribosomal RNA (492 nucleotides) under uncultured bacterium. RNAcentral's name for it is "partial 16S ribosomal RNA". It matches the Rfam family "Bacterial small subunit ribosomal RNA", at positions 29 to 507 of the family's 1533-position model. The record is from RNAcentral.